UGGGGAAUAUUGGGCAAUGGGCGCAAGCCUGACCCAGCAACGCCGCGUGAGGGAAGAAGGUUUUCGGAUUGUAAACCUCUGUCGCAGAUGACGAAGGAAGUGACGGUAAUCUGUGAGGAAGCCCCGGCUAACUACGUGCCAGCAGCCGCGGUAAUACGUCGGGGGCGAGCGUUGUCCGGAAUUACUGGGCGUAAAGGGAGCGUAGGCGGUUAAUUAAGUUGGAUGUGAAAUCCCCGGGCUUAACUUGGGUGGUGCAUCCAAUACUGGUUGACUAGAGUACAGGAGAGGAAAGCGGAAUUCCUGGUGUAGCGGUGAAAUGCAUAGAUAUCAGGAGGAACAUCGGUGGCGAAGGCGGCUUUCUGGACUGACACUGACGCUGAGGCUCGAAAGCGCGGGGAGCAAACA
RNAcentral lists this ribosomal RNA (405 nucleotides) under uncultured prokaryote. RNAcentral's name for it is "bacterial SSU rRNA". It matches the Rfam family "Bacterial small subunit ribosomal RNA", at positions 355 to 774 of the family's 1533-position model. The record is from RNAcentral.